Molecule: long non-coding RNA, 1510 nt
Filed under: Anas platyrhynchos platyrhynchos (common mallard)
Lineage: Eukaryota; Metazoa; Chordata; Aves; Anseriformes; Anatidae
Description: lncRNA (ENSAPLG00000031107.1)
Source: RNAcentral
AUGGAGGUCAUGUACUUGGAGGCAUGUGAUGGCCACCCUUUGUGUGGGAUCCAGCAGCUGUGUCCCAUUAUAGAGACCUACAACUGCUCUUUAGAUGGAAAAACACAACCAGCCCUGUCAGAUGGGUGGACGCCCUGGAUCCCAGGGCCCUUCUGUAGGACAGUUCAGAGGAGCCUAUGCAUGCUGGGGCCUAGAAAAAGACUCCUGUGUAGAUACAUUUGGGGACAGUCCAAUGACUUGUUUACUUCUACGCUCAGUGCUCUGAGCAUCCUGUGGAAGCACCCUACACUGCAGUCUGGGGCUUCAAAAACAUGUCCCGAGGCUAUGCAAUGCUGUUUGCUCAUGCCUCACUACACCAUGCCAGCAACUCCACAAUUGCAAUUGAGUAGUCUGGAACUGCUCCGCAUGAAGACAUUUAGCUGUGUGAAGGCCUUCCAUGCCCUGGGAGGGUCCAAUGCUGGUGGAAGUGUGUUCCCACCCCUGUUGAAUUCUGCAAUGAGAACAAAUUGACCUGGUGAUGAUGAGUUAUCUAUUUCUUUUAAAACAAAGAGAAUACAAAUCAAUUGCUCUUGAGCUUUAAUUGUUUUAUUGAGCAGUAUAAAUAAUAUCAUGUAUCUAAAUUAAAUACAGUUGUUAUGGUUGGGUUUCUCAUCGAAAAUUUAAUAACAAAAAGAAGGUGGGAGGGAGAGGUAAAGAAAUCCCAUGUUUUGACAUGUGUUGCUGCAGCAACAACUGCAUUACAUACCAUUUGUUUCCCUUCUGUGACCAUGAGAUGCAAUUGAACUUGGUUCUCCAUAUCCGGACAUCAGCUUUGCUGUAUGAUCUGCUUUCAUGCUCAACACUUGAGAGAACGCUCCAUGAAGCAGGGCACACAUAGCACAGCUUUGUUUGCAGAGAUCUCCCUUCUUUCUGGCAAUUCCUGGUUGUUAGGUGUCACCACAGGAGGCAGCAGCUGAAUCACACAAGCCAGCAGUAAGGCUGGGAGCAGGAGGACGGGAAAUGUAUGGCUCAACAGCUGGAGCAUAGCACCCAGACCACUGGAACUGAGUUUUCAUCUUGUUUUAAUCUACCUGAGCCACUGCAUACACUGUCGCUUCUCUCGUUUAGGAACUGCCUUCUCUUUGCAGUCUGUUUAUCUCCCAUUAUGUGGGAGGCACUUGAAGCACCUCUAGCUGUGCAGAAGAAAGAGCCCCAGGCUCACAUGAGCCAUUUCUCACAAGCAGGGCUGGUUUGGAGCAACCUGUCAGGUGUGCACAGUAUAGCCAUGUGCUACGAAAAGAUACCAGCUGAAUGUCCUGAGCAGUGGUGGCAUAGCAGCGUCCUGGUACUACUGGCUUUUUCACUGUACACAUGUGCCCUUCUUGCAGUCCUGCAGCACGGCUGCUGGUGACACAGAAGUGGGAGGAGUGGCUGAUCCACUACAAGGCUGUACUGCCAUUCAGGUGCUGCAGACCUGGACAGGCUGCAGAGCUGGGCAAAGAGAAACUUCAUGAAGCUCAGCAGAGGCAAA